CACCUGGUUGAUCCUGCCAGUAGUCAUAUGCUUGUCUCAAAGAUUAAGCCAUGCAUGUCUAAGUAUAAGCUUUAAACGGCGAAACUGCGAAUGGCUCAUUAAAACAGUUAUAGUUUAUUUGGUGAUCGAUUACUAUUUGGAUAACCGUAGUAAUUCUAGAGCUAAUACAUGCGUCAAGGCCCGACUUCGGAAGGGCUGCGUUUAUUAGAUACAGAACCAACCUAGGCUCCGCCUAGUCCUUGUUGGUGAUUCAUAAUAACCCGGCGAAUCGCACGGCUUGUCCGGCGAUGGACCAUUCAAGUUUCUGACCUAUCAGCUAUGGACGGUAGGGUAUUGGCCUACCGUGGCGUUGACGGGUAACGGGGAAUUAGGGUUCGAUUCCGGAGAGGGAGCCUGAGAACGGCUACCACAUCUAAGAAGGCAGCAGGCGCGCAAAUUACCCAAUCCUGAUACAGGGAGGUAGUGACAAGAAAUAACAUACAGGCA
This 486-nucleotide non-coding RNA is filed under the name Perkinsus marinus ATCC 50983. RNAcentral describes it as "Eukaryotic small subunit ribosomal RNA". It matches the Rfam family "Eukaryotic small subunit ribosomal RNA", at positions 1 to 490 of the family's 1831-position model. Lineage: Eukaryota; Perkinsozoa; Perkinsida; Perkinsidae. The record is from Rfam by way of RNAcentral.